RNAcentral lists this microRNA precursor (94 nucleotides) under Sorghum bicolor (sorghum). RNAcentral's name for it is "MIR5387 microRNA precursor family". It matches the Rfam family "MIR5387 microRNA precursor family". The record is from Rfam by way of RNAcentral. Lineage: Eukaryota; Viridiplantae; Streptophyta; Magnoliopsida; Poales; Poaceae.
UUGUAACACGGGCCGGUGCUAAAGGUUCCUUCCUAACGGCUACUGACAGGUGCUAUCGGGACAGGGACCCUUUAGCACCGGUUCUUGUUACCAA